GCCCGGAUGGUGGAAUAGGUAGACACAAGGGACUUAAAAUCCCUCGGCCUGGCGGCCGUGCCGGUUCGACCCCGGCUCCGGGCA
This 84-nucleotide transfer RNA is filed under the name Candidatus Accumulibacter phosphatis. Its description in RNAcentral is "tRNA-Leu". It matches the Rfam family "tRNA". Rfam says of the family: Transfer RNA (tRNA) molecules are approximately 80 nucleotides in length. Their secondary structure includes four short double-helical elements and three loops (D, anti-codon, and T loops). Further hydrogen bonds mediate the characteristic L-shaped molecular structure. tRNAs have two regions of fundamental functional importance: the anti-codon, which is responsible for specific mRNA codon recognition, and the 3' end, to which the tRNAs corresponding amino acid is attached (by aminoacyl-tRNA synthetases). tRNAs cope with the degeneracy of the genetic code in two manners: having more than one tRNA (with a specific anti-codon) for a particular amino acid; and 'wobble' base-pairing, i.e. permitting non-standard base-pairing at the 3rd anti-codon position. The record is from RNAcentral. RNAcentral also lists the same sequence under 1 other name. Lineage: Bacteria; Pseudomonadati; Pseudomonadota; Betaproteobacteria.